GUGACAUGUUCUUUUAUUUUAAAAGAUUCCUUCUCUUUCUUGCAAUUCUUUUUCAUGACUUCAAAUACUCCUUUUGUUUGUUUAUUCUUGCUUGUUUUGCAUGCAAUGCAAUCUAAACAAUAGAAGAAACCAUUCUUUUUUAUUUUAGUUGUAUCCUUCCUCUUAGGUGUUUGUUAUUUUCCUUCUUAAAUUAGGUGCACCCCUAAAAAUAAUUUUAGGUCUUUCUGGUAAGCUACUAGCAAUAAUUUUAUCUUUUUUCAAUAGAUGCCAGUGUUUUGUAAGUAUUCUUUUUAAUUGUGCAUUUUCUUUGUUGUAGUUUAAGAUAAUCGCUGGAAAUUUUUCUUCUUGUCUUGUUGUUUGUAGUUUCUCUCUAUUCUUUAAAAUAUUUGUACAAUCUAAAUUCUCUACUCUACACAAAGCAUCCUCUGUUUCGUUGUAUUGAUAGUUUUUCGACAGGAAUUUAUUCUUUACUAUUUCUGCUUGUUCCCCAUAUACUUCAAAGUCUGCACAGUUUAGUCUCAGACGCCUAAAUUCGUAAGGUACGUUUUUGAGCCGUGUAGGUAAGUGACAGCUCUCUGUAAGGAUGAAGCUGUUCACAUCUACUUCUUUAAAAUGCGUUUUUCGUUUUAACUUUACCGGAAUCUAUAUAAAUGAUAAGAUCAAGGAAUUCUACCUGUGUUUUACUACAAGUAGUAUUCAGUUUAACUCCCCAGGUAUUCUUAUUUACGUAUUCUAGAAAUUCUUGCAGGUCUACUAUUUCACCUUCCCAUAUGAAGAAAACAUCAUCGAUGUAUCUUUUAUAUCUGUGGAUAUUCAUAUUCCAGGGAUGUACAUUCCAAAUGUGAUUGUCCUCCCAAUCCCCCAUAAACAGGUUAGCAAAACUGGGGACAAAUUUUGUCCCCAUAGCAGUUCCCUUCUUCUGGAGGUAAAACUGAUCUUCAAAUAGGAAAUAGUUGUUCUUCAAAAUAAACGCAGUCCCUUCUAUUAUAAAUGAAAUUUGGGUAUCUUCCAGUUCCCCAUAUUUCUUUAAUGAGUUCCUCAUGGAGUCACAACCUUGUUGAUGAUCAAUAAUCGUGUAUAGGGAGGUCACGUCUGUAGAUACUAGAAUAUAGUUAUCUUGCCAGGAGAUGGAAUCCAGUUCUUUAAUCAUCUGUGUCGUGUCCUUAAGAUGAGACUUGACCUUAGACACAUAUGGUUGCAGAAAUGUAUCGAUGUACUGUGACAGAUUUGAUGUAAUUGAAUUAAUCCCUGAUAUUAUUGGCCGACCAGGGGGUGCUGUCAUGUCUUUGUGGAUUUUGGGUAAAAAGUAAAAGGUAGGGGUUUUUGGAAAGGGGAUAGCGAGAAAUCUGUAUUCGGACUCUUUCAAGAUCCCCAUACCUUUAGCGUUAUCCAACAUAACUUCAAGUUCCAUCAUAAUUCCACUUAAUAAAUCAGUGGAUAAUUUCCCGUAAAUUUCGGGUUCUUCUAAUAAUCUGGUUGCUUCUUUUAGAUAGUAUUCACUCGACAUGAUAACUAUUCCCCCACCUUUAUCCGCUGGUUUGAUACAGAUCUUUCAUUAUUAGUUAGAUCCUUUAUUGCUUCUCUUUCUUUACUGGUUAAGUUAUUCCUUAAAUAGUUAUUCUUUUUCAUUUUCCUUAUGUCAUCAAUUACUAAUUCCUCAUACAUCUCCAUCCCAGCAGAAACUUGAUUUAUAGGAUAAAAAGUAGAGGUUGGUUUCAACUGACUAUGUUUCAAAACGCUCACAGGCUCUUCUUUUGCUGGAAAGUCUGGAAUCUGUUCAAAGUGUUUUUUGAUGCUUAGUUUUCUUAUGAACCUUUUUACAUCAAUAGUUGCCUCAAAUUUGUUCACAUGCGCUGUGGGUGCAAAUUUUAAUUAAGGAAGGGGUGCACCUAAUUUAAGAAGGAAAAUAACAAAAACACCUAAGAGGAAGGAAGGAUACAACUAAAAUAAAAAAGAAUGAAAAAGAAUUGCAAGAAAGAGACGGAAUCUUUUAAAAUAAAAGAACAUGUCACCUGUCAUUGUACUAAC
RNAcentral lists this long non-coding RNA (2028 nucleotides) under Pelobates cultripes (western spadefoot toad). Lineage: Eukaryota; Metazoa; Chordata; Amphibia; Anura; Pelobatidae. The record is from RNAcentral.